UUGGCGAGUUUGAUCCUGGCUCAGAGCGAACGCUGGCGGCGUACUUAACACAUGCAAGUCGAACGGGGAGUGUCGGUGUAGCAAUACAUCGGCGCUUCGAGUGGCGCACGGGUGAGUAACACGUGGGUAACCUGCCCUUGAGUUCGGGAUACCCUCUCGAAAGGGAGGCUAAUACCGGAUACGUUCCUCGGGUCGCAAGACUUGGGGAGGAAAGGUAGCGCAAGCUGCCGCUCUUGGAGGGGCUCGCGGCCUAUCAGCUAGUUGGUGAGGUAACGGCUCACCAAGGCGACGACGGGUAGCUGGUCUGAGAGGACGACCAGCCACACGGGGACUGAGACACGGCCCCGACUCCUACGGGAGGCAGCAGUGGGGAAUUUUCCG
Molecule: ribosomal RNA, 381 nt
Filed under: Candidatus Rokubacteria bacterium 13_2_20CM_2_64_8
Lineage: Bacteria; Candidatus Rokuibacteriota
Description: bacterial SSU rRNA
Rfam family: Bacterial small subunit ribosomal RNA
Source: RNAcentral